CCUACGGGAGGCAGCAGUAAGGAAUAUUGGUCAAUGGUGGCAACACUGAACCAGCCAUGCCGCGUGCAGGAUGAAGGUUCUAUGAAUUGUAAACUGCUUUUAUACGGGAAAAAACUUUCGAACGUGUUCGGAACUGAUGGUACCGUAAGAAUAAGGAUCGGCUAACUUCGUGCCAGCAGCCGCGGUAAGACGAAGGAUCCAAGCGUUAUCCGGAUUUAUUGGGUUUAAAGGGUGCGUAGGUGGACUUGUAAGUCAGUGGUGAAAGCCCGAUGCUUAACAUCGGAACUGCCAUUGAUACUGCAAGUCUUGAAUAUGUUUGAAGUGGGCGGAAUGUGUCGUGUAGCGGUGAAAUGCUUAGAUAUGACACAGAACACCGAUUGCGAAGGCAGCUCACUAAACCAUUAUUGACACUGAGGCACGAAAGCGUGGGGAGCAAACCAGGAUUAGAUACCCUGGUAGUCCACGCCCUAAACGUUGAAUACUCGAUAUGUGCGAUACACUGUACGUGUCCAAGNGAAAUCGUUAAGUAUUCCACCUGGGGAUACGCUCGCAAGAGUGAAACUUAAGGAAUUGACGGCUGAGACCGNGCGAGCGACGACGAGGGAGGAGG
RNAcentral lists this ribosomal RNA (610 nucleotides) under uncultured bacterium. RNAcentral describes it as "bacterial SSU rRNA". It matches the Rfam family "Bacterial small subunit ribosomal RNA", at positions 338 to 947 of the family's 1533-position model. The record is from RNAcentral.